This 19-nucleotide microRNA is filed under the name Moringa oleifera (horseradish tree). Its description in RNAcentral is "hbr-miR156". RNAcentral also lists the same sequence under 2 other names. The record is from RNAcentral. Lineage: Eukaryota; Viridiplantae; Streptophyta; Magnoliopsida; Brassicales; Moringaceae.
UUGACAGAAGAUAGAGAGC